UAAAUAAAAUAAAUAUCUACUCACGACACUUUAAAAGUUACUACGAUGGUUGAGCGAGAAAGAAGGUUGUCUGGGCUCACAUAAACAAUAUAUCAAAAUUUAUCAAUAAAUAAUUUAAAACAAAGCUUUAGAGAAUCAAAAGACAGCCCUAAGGUUUUGCCGAAACUCUGACAGAGUCCCCCCUAUACCUAGGACCUACCAAUCAUGCGAAAAUGUUCAAAUAACACUUCUAAUUUCUGAGCCCCCCAAAUCAAUCAAAACUCACAAUUUGAGAAAAUUACAUUUUAGUCCUCAAAGCAAACUUUUUAGCAAAAACCACCUAAACGAAUUUUAAAAAUUCUAAAAUUUUGUCUCGUGAGUCUUUAGCAAUAUUACUAAAUCAAUACAAAAGGAAUUAUAAUUUUCUAACCUACCACAAAUAAUUUAUGAAAUUUUAAUCUAAUUCAGGCACUCAAUAAUUAAGAAAACAUGGGUUUUAGGUUUAUCUACAUCAAUUCUGACGCAUAAGACGUGUUCGGGGCGUCUGAAAAUGAUAAGAUAGCCUAUAACCUUGAUCCGGUUCUGAAGUUUUUCUAGCAGCCUUUCUAUCCAGCUCGAUAUUUGCAAACCUGAGUAACUGUCGAAUUUCCACGAAAUGAUGGUACCGAAAUUUUGAUGUCGGAAAAAUUUCAAAUUAGUGUCGUUGCGAAGCCCUCGACGAAUAGAGUAUGCUGGUGGUCUCAGAUUUUUUAUAUGAUUUACAGUUUGAAAGAGAUCUAACCCAUAAAUUAAAAUGGACUAAAACUUCUGAAGCUUGAUUCG
This 801-nucleotide unclassified non-coding RNA is filed under the name Hevea brasiliensis (rubber tree). The record is from RNAcentral. Lineage: Eukaryota; Viridiplantae; Streptophyta; Magnoliopsida; Malpighiales; Euphorbiaceae.